AGCAGCGUCAAACGCGUCAAAUGACAAACAGACAUGAGAGCAGACUAGGAACAAACAUGAAGGACAUUCACGCAUUUUUGCAUCUGAGUGUGUAAAUCCCACUGAAGUGAAAGCUACUGAGCCCAAAACAACGCAAGAAACAAACAAAAAACUUAAGCAGUGCUGUUAGUAAAAUGCGGCUCAACAGAUUUAAUCUAUAGAACACAUUUAUCCAGUAAAUAAUCUGUCGCAGAUAGAGCAUACAGACAGACGAUUUUAAACCGAAACUAUGGACCAGUCUGUGUGUUCAGCAUGAGCUCCCGCGGUGACCUAGAGAGCCCCCUUUACUCCGAGUUCAAGCUCGACUUACCUCGUUAACCCAUCGACCUUUCCGGUAAACCCUGGCACAGAUUUUCCUCAAAAGCCACCUCGCAGACCCGCCCCCUCUUUUGUCAGUCAUGCGGUGCAGAUGGCGUGCAUAGGUGAACGGUCAGACAUGCCUCGUCAAUUUCUAAAGGUGAAUCUGAGUGAGGUGGAGGAAGAGACGCAGUUGCUUGCAGAGAAAGUAUAUGCAUCGGCAUUAAAAGAAGAAGAAACCAAAAAUGCCUUGUCGAUGUUCACGAUGCCUGAGGACUGCCCAAUUGGCCUCCAGCAAGCCAAAGACCAUGAACUGCUUAAGGAGCUGGCAGAGCAGCAGUCAGAGGAGACUCUUAAGAGGAGGAACAGCCUGAGGAUGAUUCGUUCCAAGUCACUUUGCCUACAAGUCCCAGCCAAUGCAGAUUGGGCACGCCUAGUGACACCAUUCAUGUCCCCCAGUUCCACCAGCUCAUCUGUGCAGGAAAACUGCCCUGAUUAUCAGAGGGUUACUAUUAGUGGAGAUUACUGUGCUGGUAUCACACUGGACGACUAUGAUCAGGCCGCCAAAAAUCUGUUUAAAGCUCUGCUUCUUCGAGAGAAAUACUCAAAGCUAGCCUAUCACAGAUUCUGCAGAACGACGAGCAAGUUCCUACGAAGUGCUCAGAACACGACCUGGAGCGAAGAAGAUGAGGUCCUUCCAGACAUGUGCCCAUGUCCAGAAGCUGGGGAGGAUCCCUACUGCAUGGACAACAUCCCCAAGGAUCUAAAUUAUAAACUGAAGAUGAAGGAUGGGAUAGUUUAUGUGUAUGAUAAUGAAGAGGCUUUCAAACAAAACCAGCCUCAUGACCUUCCUUACCCAGACUUGGAGACCUUUGCUGUAGAGCUGAGUCAUGUGCUUGCCAUGACUGCAGAUGGACCCACGAAAACCUACUGUCAUAGGAGACUAAAUUUCUUGAGUUCAAAAUUCAACCUCCAUGAGAUGCUCAAUGAGAUGGCUGAGCUCAAGGAAUUAAAACGUGUGCCUCACAGAGAUUUCUACAAUGUUAGAAAGGUGGACACGCACAUUCAUGCAGCUGCAUGUAUGUCUCAGAAACAUCUGCUCACCUUCAUCCAGAAGACGUAUCAGACUGAUGCAGAACGUGUAGUUUUAGAAAAGGGUGGACAAAGAAUGACACUCAAAGAGGUUUUCCAGCACCUCAACAAGGACCCCUAUGACCUUACUGUGGACUCUCUCGACGUACAUGCUGGGAGACAAACCUUCCACCGCUUUGAUAAGUUCAAUGCGAAGUAUAACCCAGUGGGAGCCAGUGAGCUUCGUGAAAUCUUCCUGAAAACUGACAAUGUUGUUAAUGGAGAGUAUUUUGCUUGCAUCAUAAAGGAAGUGGCCCGUGGCCUGGAGGAGAGCAAGUAUCAGCAUGUAGAGCCACGCCUGUCCAUCUACGGAAGGUCUCCUGACGAGUGGUACAGUCUGUCCAAGUGGUUUAUUGACCACAAAUUAUACUCUCCAAACAUAAGGUGGAUGAUUCAAGUGCCCAGAAUAUAUGAUAUUUUCAAGCUAAAGAAGCUAAUACCCAAUUUUGCCAAGAUGCUGGAGAACAUAUUCCUUCCUUUGUUUGAGGCCACAGUCAACCCACAGAAGCACAAAGAACUUCACAUUUUCCUCAAAUAUGUGUCUGGCUUUGACAGCGUGGACGAUGAGUCCAAACACAGCGAUCACAUGUUCUCCUUCAGGAGCCCAAAACCAGAACAGUGGACUUCAGUUGAAAAUCCUCCAUACAGCUACUACAUCUUCCACAUGUACGCAAACAUCAUAGUCCUCAACAACCUCAGAAAAGAGUGUGGACUAAACACCUUCCAGUUCCGUCCCCACUGUGGAGAAGCUGGAUCACUCACUCAUCUGGUCUCUGCCUUUCUCACUGCUGACAACAUCUCACAUGGACUCAACCUGAGGAAGAGCCCAGUGCUGCAGUACCUGUACUACCUAGCCCAGGUACCAAUUGCAAUGUCUCCACUCAGCAACAAUGGCCUGUUCCUGGAAUACUCCAAAAGCCCGCUAAAAGACUUCCUGCACAAAGGUCUGUGUGUGUCCCUGUCCACAGAUGAUCCCAUGCUGUUCCACUACACCAAGGAACCACUGAUGGAGGAGUACGCCAUAGCAGCUCAGCUGUGGAAGUUCAGCACCUGUGAUGUGUGUGAAAUAGCCAGGAACAGUGUGCUGCAGAGUGGGUUUUCUCACCAGGAUAAGAUGCACUUCCUGGGAGAGAACUAUCUGAAAGAUGGACCCGAAGGAAACGAUAUCCGUAAGACCAACGUCGCCCAGGUCCGGAUGGCCUACAGACACGAAACGCUGUGCAAUGAACUCAGCUUCAUUGUUGAUGCAGUGAAGGCUGAAUCUAUGAAUUCCCACAGCGAGUAAAGAGGACCUCACAUUUGACAGAAUCGAAGCAUGUUGCACUCUAAGAUAUCUACAUUUACCUUUAUUUAUUUAUUUAUUUAUUUUGUAAAAAGUGCCUCUGGCUGGCUGUGAUGGAAUACAAACUUCAAUAAAACUAAAACUAAAAGAGCAAUACUUAACUAAUUGCAAAUUAAUAGCAGAUGGGUUUUCUAAAAUUUAAUUGUAAGGGACGAUGCUCAAGUAUUCAAAGGCAAAGCUGUGGAAGCCCACAAGAUCUCAUAGAAACUUUUCACAGCCAUUAGAAGAGUUACCAGUGAGAGAACAAACAAACAGUUUGCUUAAAACAAGCUUCAGUGACUUUUAAAAAAGCUUGAGAGA
Haplochromis burtoni (Burton's mouthbrooder) is the source of this 3109-nucleotide RNA transcript. It is a transcript of the gene named adenosine monophosphate deaminase 3a, with no coding region annotated. The record is from RefSeq and is a predicted model, not a curated record. The transcript has 16 exons. NCBI's taxonomy places the organism in Eukaryota, Metazoa, Chordata, Actinopteri, Cichliformes, Cichlidae.